Molecule: unclassified non-coding RNA, 179 nt
Filed under: uncultured fungus
Lineage: Eukaryota; Fungi
Description: sequence contains ITS1
Source: RNAcentral
CUGAGAAAGGGUCCUUCGGGGCCCGACCUCCAACCCUUUGUUUACAAACUUUGUUGCCUCGGCAGGCCGUCGACGUCUCUCUGAGGCGUUGCCCCUUGGUCUUCCGGCCUUGGUGCGCCUGCCGAUGGACUAAUUAAACCAUAUUGAAUCAGCUUUCUGAGUGAAAAUUUAAUACUUCA